RNAcentral lists this transfer RNA (87 nucleotides) under Patescibacteria group bacterium. RNAcentral's name for it is "tRNA-Ser". It matches the Rfam family "tRNA". From Rfam's summary of the family: Transfer RNA (tRNA) molecules are approximately 80 nucleotides in length. Their secondary structure includes four short double-helical elements and three loops (D, anti-codon, and T loops). The record is from RNAcentral.
GGAGGAGUGGCUGAGUGGUCGAAGGCACCGCACUCGAAAUGCGGCGUACCCGAAAGGGUACCGUGAGUUCGAAUCUCACCUCCUCCG